Molecule: ribosomal RNA, 292 nt
Filed under: uncultured bacterium
Lineage: Bacteria
Description: partial 16S ribosomal RNA
Rfam family: Bacterial small subunit ribosomal RNA
Source: RNAcentral
GUGCCAGCAGCCGCGGUAAUACGUAGGGGGCGAGCGUUGUCCGGAGUUACUGGGCGUAAAGGGCAUGCAGGCGGUCGGACGCGUUUCGGGUGACAGCGGGUGGCUUAACUACCCGAGUGGUCGAAAGACGGUUUGACUUGAGGACGCGAGAGGGACACGGAAUUCCGGGUGGAGUGGUGAAAUGCGUAGAGAUCCGGAGGAACACCGAAGGCGAAGGCAGUGUCCUGGCGCGUAACUGACGCUGAGGUGCGAAAGCCAGGGGAGCGAACGGGAUUAGAUACCCCCGUAGUCC